RNAcentral lists this long non-coding RNA (721 nucleotides) under Phasianus colchicus (ring-necked pheasant). RNAcentral's name for it is "lncRNA (ENSPCLG00000003018.1)". The record is from RNAcentral. Lineage: Eukaryota; Metazoa; Chordata; Aves; Galliformes; Phasianidae.
CAUUGUGUAAAAUGGGAGUUCUGUGCUUCUGUCAUGCAUCUGAAAGGAUGGCUUCUGUGGUUUUGCCUGUGAAAUUGUAAAACCACACUGAAGAUGGCUCUUGAUCAGUGUAGUAGCAUACAUUGGGUUGUCACUGGGUAGAGCUGCACAUAUCUCUUGGAAGGAGUCCAUGACGUGCCCCCACAUACCAUGAGUAUGUUGUUGGAUAGAGCACAGGGAAGCACAGUGAGAAGCACAGUAUGGCCAGCCUGGCAGGAUGGUUCAGACUUGUCUCAGAAGUUCAGGGAUAUUGCAGCAGAGUCAUGACCAGCCAAAGAUCUUUGUCAGUGUUUACGCCUGAUGCAAUUGCGAAAGCCAGAAAAUGGCCUUUGUGAUGAUGCCACUGAGAUUUAGAACAUUAAAGCAAUCUCAUUAUCAGUUUGCAUCCCCAGUUGGAAAUCGGAGAUUGUUCAGCACAUCAAACAAUCUCAUCUUUACAUUGGCAACAGAGAUCUUGAAAUUAUAAGAGGUUUAACUGAGUGACAUAUGUAUAAAGUGAAGAUCCUUUUUUACCUGAAAAGAAGGCACAUAUAGGUACUGCCCAAGCAUUUGCAUGAACCUCACAACGUGGGUGGGAUUAUGUGAACAUGCUCUCCUGAAAAGUGCACAAACCUUUACCCAAAGUAGCACUCAGAUUUUGUUUGAGGAUUGUGGAGAGCUAUUUGAUGUUGUUUUGGUUCCU